UACAGAGGUCUCAAGCGUUGUUCGGAUUCAUUGGGCGUAAAGGGUUUGUAGGCGGCGCUGUUAGUCGGGUGUGAAAUCCCUCGGCUCAACCGAGGAAUUGCGCCCGAUACUGCAGUGCUUGAGGGAGACAGAGGUAAGCGGAACUGAUGGUGGAGCGGUGAAAUGCGUAGAUAUCAUCAGGAACACCGGUGGCGAAAGCGGCUUACUGGGUCUCUUCUGACGCUGAGAAACGAAAGCCAGGGGAGCGAAGGGG
RNAcentral lists this ribosomal RNA (253 nucleotides) under uncultured bacterium. RNAcentral's name for it is "partial 16S ribosomal RNA". It matches the Rfam family "Bacterial small subunit ribosomal RNA", at positions 524 to 776 of the family's 1533-position model. The record is from RNAcentral.